AUUGAACGCUGGCGGCAUGCCUUACACAUGCAAGUCGAACGGUAACAGGUCUUCGGAUGCUGACGAGUGGCGAACGGGUGAGUAAUACAUCGGAACGUGCCUAGUAGUGGGGGAUAACCACUCGAAAGAGUGGCUAAUACCGCAUGAGAUCUGCGGAUGAAAGCAGGGGAUCGCAAGACCUUGUGCUACUAGAGCGGCCGAUGGCAGAUUAGGUAGUUGGUGGGAUAAAAGCUUACCAAGCCGACGAUCUGUAGCUGGUCUGAGAGGACGAUCAGCCACACUGGGACUGAGACACGGCCCAGACUCCUACGGGAGGCAGCAGUGGGGGAUUUUGGACAAUGGGCGCAAGCCUGAUCCAGCAAUGCCGCGUGCAGGAUGAAGGCCUUCGGGUUGUAAACUGCUUUUGUACGGAACGAAAAGCCCCGGGUUAAUACCCUGGGGUCAUGACGGUACCGUAAGAAUAAGCACCGGCUAACUACGUGCCAGCCGCCGCCGUAA
Molecule: ribosomal RNA, 498 nt
Filed under: uncultured bacterium
Lineage: Bacteria
Description: partial 16S ribosomal RNA
Rfam family: Bacterial small subunit ribosomal RNA
Source: RNAcentral